RNAcentral lists this ribosomal RNA (468 nucleotides) under uncultured bacterium. RNAcentral describes it as "bacterial SSU rRNA". It matches the Rfam family "Bacterial small subunit ribosomal RNA", at positions 329 to 794 of the family's 1533-position model. The record is from RNAcentral.
UUCCAGACUCCUACGGGAGGCAGCAGUGAGGAAUAUUGGUCAAUGGUCGGGAGACUGAACCAGCCAAGUCGCGUGAGGGAAUAAGGCCCUACGGGUCGUAAACCUCUUUUGCCGGGGAGCAAGGGCGGGGACGUGUCCCGGCCCGGAGAGUACCCGGAGAAAAAGCAUCGGCUAACUCCGUGCCAGCAGCCGCGGUAAUACGGAGGAUGCGAGCGUUAUCCGGAUUUAUUGGGUUUAAAGGGUGCGCAGGCGGAAUGUCAAGUCAGCGGUAAAAUUUCGGGGCUCAACCCCGUCGUGCCGUUGAAACUGGCGUUCUUGAGUGAGCGAGAAGUAUGCGGAAUGCGUGGUGUAGCGGUGAAAUGCAUAGAUAUCACGCAGAACUCCGAUUGCGAAGGCAGCAUACCGGCGCUCAACUGACGCUCAUGCACGAAAGCGUGGGUAUCGAACAGGAUUAGAUACCCCAGUAGA